Molecule: ribosomal RNA, 483 nt
Filed under: uncultured bacterium
Lineage: Bacteria
Description: bacterial SSU rRNA
Rfam family: Bacterial small subunit ribosomal RNA
Source: RNAcentral
UGGGGAAUAUUGCGCAAUGGGCGAAAGCCUGACGCAGCAACACCGCGUGAGGGAUGACGGCCUUCGGGUUGUAAACCUCUUUCAGCUCCGACGAAGCGAAAGUGACGGUAGGAGCAGAAGAAGCACCGGCUAACUACGUGCCAGCAGCCGCGGUAAUACGUAGGGUGCAAGCGUUGUCCGGAAUUAUUGGGCGUAAAGAGCUCGUAGGCGGUCCGUUGCGUCUGCCGUGAAAACCCGGAGCUCAACUCCGGGCCUGCGGUGGAUACGGGCGGACUAGAGUCCGGUAGGGGAGACUGGAAUUCCUGGUGUAGCGGUGGAAUGCGCAGAUAUCAGGAGGAACACCGGUGGCGAAGGCGGGUCUCUGGGCCGGAACUGACGCUGAGGAGCGAAAGCGUGGGGAGCGACAGGAUGAGAUACCCUGGUAGUCCACGCCGUAAACGGUGGGCGCUAGGUGUGGGAUCGUUUCCACGAUCUCCGUGCCGU